GAUGAACGCUGGCGGCGUGCCUAAUACAUGCAAGUCGAGCGAACGGACGAGAAGCUUGCUUCUCUGAUGUUAGCGGCGGACGGGUGAGUAACACGUGGAUAACCUACCUAUAAGACUGGGAUAACUUCGGGAAACCGGAGCUAAUACCGGAUGAUAUUUUGAACCGCAUGGUUCAAAAGUGAAAGACGGUCUUGCUGUCACUUAUAGAUGGAUCCGCGCUGCAUUAGCUAGUUGGUAAGGUAACGGCUUACCAAGGCAACGAUGCAUAGCCGACCUGAGAGGGUGAUCGGCCACACUGGACCUGAGACACGGUCCAGACUCCUACGGGAGGCAGCAGUAGGGAAUCUUCCGCAAUGGGCGAAAGCCUGACGGAGCAACGCCGCGUGGGUGAUGAAGGUCUUCGGAUCGUAAAACUCUGUUAUUAGGGAAGAACAUAUGUGUAAGUAACUGUGCACAUCUUGACGGUACCUAAUCAGAAAGCCACGGCUAACUACGUG
This 497-nucleotide ribosomal RNA is filed under the name uncultured bacterium. Its description in RNAcentral is "partial 16S ribosomal RNA". It matches the Rfam family "Bacterial small subunit ribosomal RNA", at positions 28 to 507 of the family's 1533-position model. The record is from RNAcentral.